This 510-nucleotide ribosomal RNA is filed under the name uncultured bacterium. RNAcentral describes it as "partial 16S ribosomal RNA". It matches the Rfam family "Bacterial small subunit ribosomal RNA", at positions 29 to 523 of the family's 1533-position model. The record is from RNAcentral.
AUUGAGCGCUGGCGGCACGCUUAACACAUGCAAGUCGAACGGCAGCAUAAGGGGUUUACUCCUUGAUGGCGAGUGGCGAACGGGUGAGUAACGCGUAGGGAUCUGCCUGUUAGAGGGGGAUAAGCCGAGGAAACUUGGACUAAUACCGCAUACGCUCUGAGGAGGAAAGGACGGGACUGCCGAGAGGUGGCCGUGCGCUAACAGAUGAACCUGCGUUAGAUUAGCUAGUUGGUAGGGUAAAGGCCUACCAAGGCGACGAUCUAUAGCUGGGCUGAGAGGAUGACCAGCCACACUGGAAUUGAGGGACGGACCAGACUCCUACGGGAGGCAGCAGUGGGGAAUAUUGGACAAUGGGGGAACCCUGAUCCAGCGAUGCCGCGUGUGUGAAGAAGGCCUGAGGGUUGUAAAGCACUUUAGUUGGGGAGGAAAGGUUUCACUUCGAAUAGGGGUGAAAGAAGACGUUACCCAAAGAAUAAGCACCGGCUAACUCUGUGCCAGCAGCCGCCGUAA